AUCUACCUAGUAGUACGGAAUAAUUGUUGGAAACGGCAACUAAUACCGUAUACGCCCCACGGGGGAAAAAUUUAUUGCUAUUAGAUGAGCCUAUAUUAGAUUAGCUUGUUGGUAGGGUAAUAGCUUACCAAGGCAAUGAUCUAUAGCUGAUCUGAGAGGAUGAUCAGCCACACUGGAACUGAGAUACGGUCCAGACUCCUACGGGAGGCAGCAGUGGGGAAUAUUGGACAAUGGGCGAAAGCCUGAUCCAGCUAUGCCGCAUGAGUGAAGAAGGCCUUUGGGUUGUAAAGCUCUUUUAGUGAGGAAGAUAAUGACGGUACUCACAGAAGAAGUCCUGGCUAACUCCGUGCCAGCAGCCGCGGUAAUACGGAGAGGGCUAGCGUUAUUCGGAAUUAUUGGGCGUAAAGGGCGCGUAGGCUGACUAAUAAGUUAAAAGUGAAAUCCCGAGGCUUAACCUUGGAAUUGCUUUUAAAACUGUUAAUCUAGAGAUUGAAAGAGGAUAGAGGAAUUCCUAGUGUAGAGGUAAAAUUCGUAAAUAUUAGGAGGAACACCAGUGGCGAAGGCGUCUAUCUGGUUCAAAUCUGACGCUGAGGCGCGAAGGCGUGGGGAGCAAACAGGAUUAGAUACCCUGGUAGUCCACGCUGUAAACGAUGAAUGUUAAAUAUGGGAAAUUUAUUUUCUGUAUUACAGCUAACGCGUUAAACAUUCCGCCUGGGGACUACGGUCGCAAGAUUAAAACUCAAAGGAAUUGACGGGGACCCGCACAAGCGGUGGAGCAUGUGGUUUAAUUCGAUGCAACGCGAAAAACCUUACCACUCCUUGACAUGAAA
This 830-nucleotide ribosomal RNA is filed under the name Wolbachia endosymbiont of Armadillidium vulgare. RNAcentral's name for it is "bacterial SSU rRNA". It matches the Rfam family "Bacterial small subunit ribosomal RNA", at positions 124 to 991 of the family's 1533-position model. Lineage: Bacteria; Pseudomonadati; Pseudomonadota; Alphaproteobacteria; Rickettsiales; Anaplasmataceae. The record is from RNAcentral.